CAUCGCCACCACACCACCCUGAACAUACGUACCUAAUCUCAUCUGAUUUUGGAAACUAAAGAGGGUUGUGCUUGGUUAGUAACUGGAUGGGAAACGACCAGAGAAUAGGAGGCAUUUUGUAGU
Molecule: ribosomal RNA, 123 nt
Filed under: Pogona vitticeps (central bearded dragon)
Lineage: Eukaryota; Metazoa; Chordata; Lepidosauria; Squamata; Agamidae
Source: RNAcentral